RNAcentral lists this unclassified non-coding RNA (538 nucleotides) under uncultured Prochlorococcus sp. RNAcentral describes it as "partial 16S-23S ribosomal RNA intergenic spacer". The stretch from base 211 to 283 matches the Rfam family "tRNA". Lineage: Bacteria; Bacillati; Cyanobacteriota; Cyanophyceae; Synechococcales; Prochlorococcaceae. The record is from RNAcentral.
CAGGGAGACAACAAAAUGAUUAAUAUUAUUAUUUUGUCACCUUAGGUCGAUCGGUAUCUCAUGUUCUUAAUUUAUUAAGAAUUUCNUUUCCUAAGUUUUUCUAGGACACACCCAUUAUUUUCCUGGGCCAUUAACUCAGGUGGGUAAAGCGCCCCCCUGAUAAGGGUGAGGUCCCUGUUUCAAGUCCAGGAUGGCCCAUAUCUCUAUGUUGGGGGUAUAGCUCACUUGGGAGAGCGCCUGCUUUGCAAGCUAGAUGUCACCGGUUCGAGUCCGCUUACCUCCACUGAUUACCACCUCUUCCAUAAUCUGUANAAAGGAAAUGUUUUGANNCUUGAUCUAAUUCUGAACGAAUCUACUUUCCUAACGAAAUCAUUAAGAUGCUGGACUCAUUGNAUUAUUUUCUUGUAUUCAAAGAACCUUGACAACUGCAUANAUUAUUUUUAAAGACAAUAAUAAUCUUUAACUAUGCGCAUUUAUUAUUUAUGCGAAUGCAUUAAUAACAAUUCUAUUAAGNNGAUGCUUCAAUUUUGAAGNUAUU